UAGUGUGCUGGCAUGCUUAACACAUGCAGUCGAACGGUAGCAGGCCCUUUGGGGUGCUGACGAGUGGCGGACGGGUGAGUAGUGCGUAGGAAUUGGCCUAGUGGUGGGGGAUAACCUGGGGAAACUCAGGGUAAUACCGCAUACGCUCUGUGGAGGAAAGCGGGGGACCUGAGAGGGCCUCGCGCCGGUAGAGGAGCCUACGUCGGAUUAGCUAGUUGGUGGGGUAAGGGCCUACCAAGGCGACGAUCCGUAGCUGGUCUGAGAGGAUGAUCAGCCACACUGGGACUGAGACACGACCCAGACUCCUACGGGAGGCAGCAGUGGGGAAUCUUGGACAAUGGGCGCAAGCCUGAUCCAGCAAUGCCGCGUGGGUGAAGAAGGCCUGCGGGUUGUAAAGCCCUUUCGGUGGGGAGGAACGGUCUGGUGCUAAGAUCGCUGGGCGUUGCCGUUACCCACAGAAGAAGCACCGGCCAACUCCGUGCCAGCAGCCGCGGUAAUACGGAGGGUGCGAGCGUUAAUCGGAAUUACUGGGCGUAAAGGGCGCGUAGGUGGUGCGUUGAGUCAGCUGUGAAAGCCCUGGGCUUAACCUGGGAAUGGCAGUUGAGACUGGCGUGCUGGAGUGUGACAGAGGACGGCGGAAUUCCCGGUGUAGCGAUGAAAUGCGUAGAGAUCGGGAGGAACACCGAUGGCGAAGGCAGCCGUCUGGGUUGACACUGACGCUGAGGCGCGAAGGCGUGGGGAGCAAACAGGAUUAGAUACCCUGUAGUCCACGCGGUAAACGAUGAGAACUAGACGUCAGGCGGGUAUGACUGUUUGGUGUCGGAGCUAACGCGUUAAGUUCUCCGCCUGGGGAGUACGGCCGCAAGGUUG
RNAcentral lists this ribosomal RNA (870 nucleotides) under uncultured bacterium. RNAcentral describes it as "bacterial SSU rRNA". It matches the Rfam family "Bacterial small subunit ribosomal RNA", at positions 31 to 896 of the family's 1533-position model. The record is from RNAcentral.